RNAcentral lists this ribosomal RNA (646 nucleotides) under Escherichia coli. Its description in RNAcentral is "partial 23S ribosomal RNA". It matches the Rfam family "Bacterial large subunit ribosomal RNA", at positions 614 to 1259 of the family's 2925-position model. The record is from RNAcentral. Lineage: Bacteria; Pseudomonadati; Pseudomonadota; Gammaproteobacteria; Enterobacterales; Enterobacteriaceae.
AAUGGGUCAGCGACUUAUAUUCUGUAGCAAGGUUAACCGAAUAGGGGAGCCGAAGGGAAACCGAGUCUUAACUGGGCGUUAAGUUGCAGGGUAUAGACCCGAAACCCGGUGAUCUAGCCAUGGGCAGGUUGAAGGUUGGGUAACACUAACUGGAGGACCGAACCGACUAAUGUUGAAAAAUUAGCGGAUGACUUGUGGCUGGGGGUGAAAGGCCAAUCAAACCGGGAGAUAGCUGGUUCUCCCCGAAAGCUAUUUAGGUAGCGCCUCGUGAAUUCAUCUCCGGGGGUAGAGCACUGUUUCGGCAAGGGGGUCAUCCCGACUUACCAACCCGAUGCAAACUGCGAAUACCGGAGAAUGUUAUCACGGGAGACACACGGCGGGUGCUAACGUCCGUCGUGAAGAGGGAAACAACCCAGACCGCCAGCUAAGGUCCCAAAGUCAUGGUUAAGUGGGAAACGAUGUGGGAAGGCCCAGACAGCCAGGAUGUUGGCUUAGAAGCAGCCAUCAUUUAAAGAAAGCGUAAUAGCUCACUGGUCGAGUCGGCCUGCGCGGAAGAUGUAACGGGGCUAAACCAUGCACCGAAGCUGCGGCAGCGACGCUUAUGCGUUGUUGGGUAGGGGAGCGUUCUGUAAGCCUGCGAAGGUGU